UUUUACGUGCCACCUGCACAGGUGCCAGUGCAUGCAGGUUAAUUACAAUAUAUAUAUAUAUAAUACCUACACAUGUAUGUUAAAGUCUUUUAUUGUCUGAAAUUUGCAUUCUGCAUAUGCAGGAUGAAAUUCUUUCAAAAUGUUUGUGGAGAGUGAAGAUAUUAAUAAAGUCUAUC
Molecule: long non-coding RNA, 176 nt
Organism: Octopus sinensis (East Asian common octopus)
Lineage: Eukaryota; Metazoa; Mollusca; Cephalopoda; Octopoda; Octopodidae
Exons: 3
Source: RefSeq, a predicted model, not a curated record